UGGGGAAUAUUGCACAAUGGGCGCAAGCCUGAUGCAGCCAUGCCGCGUGUGUGAAGAAGGCCUUCGGGUUGUAAAGCACUUUCAGCGGGGAGGAAGGCGUUAAGGUUAAUAACCUCGGCGAUUGACGUUACCCGCAGAAGAAGCACCGGCUAACCCCGUGCCAGCAGCCGCGGUAAUACGGAGGGUGCAAGCGUUAAUCGGAAUUACUGGGCGUAAAGCGCACGCAGGCGGUUUGUUAAGUCAGAUGUGAAAUCCCCGGGCUCAACCUGGGAACUGCAUCUGAUACGGGCAAGCAUGGGUCUCGUAGAGGGGGGUAGAAUUCCAGGUGUAGCGGUGAAAUGCGUAGAGGUCUGGAGGAAGACCGGUGGCGAAGGCGGCCCCCUGGACGAAGACUGACGCUCAGGUGCGAAAGCGUGGGGAGCAAACGGG
Molecule: ribosomal RNA, 429 nt
Filed under: Chloroflexota bacterium
Lineage: Bacteria; Bacillati; Chloroflexota
Description: Chloroflexi bacterium partial 16S ribosomal RNA
Rfam family: Bacterial small subunit ribosomal RNA
Source: RNAcentral